GAUGAAGAACGUAGCGAAAUGCGAUAAGUAAUGUGAAUUGCAGAAUUCAGUGAAUCAUCGAAUCUUUGAACGCACAUUGCGCCCGCCAGUAUUCUGGCGAGCAUGCCUGUUCGAGCGUCAUUUCAACCAUCAAGCCCCAGGCUUGUGUUGGAGCCCUGCGGCUGCCGCAGCCUCCCAAAACCAGUGGCGGGCUCGCUAUCACACCGAGUGCAGUAGUUUACUCUUCGCUCAGGGCGUGUGGCGGGUGCUAGCCGUGAAACCCCCAACUGCUCAAGGUUGACCUCGGAUCAGGUAGGAAUACCCGCUGAACUUAAGCAUAUCAAUAAGCGGAGGA
RNAcentral lists this unclassified non-coding RNA (334 nucleotides) under soil metagenome. Its description in RNAcentral is "partial contains 5.8S ribosomal RNA, internal transcribed spacer 2, and large subunit ribosomal RNA". The stretch from base 1 to 120 matches the Rfam family "5.8S ribosomal RNA", at positions 35 to 154 of the family's 154-position model. The record is from RNAcentral.